Molecule: ribosomal RNA, 446 nt
Filed under: uncultured bacterium
Lineage: Bacteria
Description: bacterial SSU rRNA
Rfam family: Bacterial small subunit ribosomal RNA
Source: RNAcentral
UCGAGGAUCUUCGGCAAUGGGCGCAAGCCUGACCGAGCGACGCCGCGUGCGGGAUGAAGGCUUUCGGGUUGUAAACCGCUGUCAGUGGGGAGGAAAUUUAGGUGGGUACUCUCAUCUAAUUGACCUAUCCGCAGAGGAAGCAAGGGCUAAGUUCGUGCCAGCAGCCGCGGUAAGACGAACCUUGCUAACGUUAUUCGGAAUUACUGGGCUUAAAGGGUGCGUAGGCGGUGCGGAAAGUCGGGUGUGAAAUCCCCCAGCUCAACUGGGGAAUUGCGCCUGAAACUACCGUGCUCGAGGAAGACAGAGGUACGCGGAACUUAGGGUGGAGCGGUGAAAUGCGUUGAUAUCCUAAGGAACACCGGUGGCGAAAGCGGCGUACUGGGUCUUAUCUGACGCUGAGGCACGAAAGCUAGGGUAGCGAACGGGAUUAGAUACCCCCGUAGUCC